CAGCAGCGUACUAGUUGUUGGGGCUGAGAGCUGGGACCUAGAGGGACACUCAGAUCUUCAAAAAGCUCCCUAGACUUAAGUGACUGGGAGGUUGCUAUAAUGCUUACUUGAGGAGUGUGUUUUAGAAACAAGAAUUUCAUGUUUGCCUGUUUGCCCUGGGUUCCCUCGGAAUAGGUGUAAGGAUAGGCUUGAUUUUUAUUACAAAUGAUGUAACAUUACAUAUGUUAGUACUCCUAACACUUCUUGGGACUGUGCCUCAGGGAUCACAACCUAUAUAAGUUUAGAAGUUCUAAAAGACCUUGAUUUAUAGGUUCAGAUAGUGUCCAGAUUAGAAUCCUGAUGCUAAAGACUUAAUAAGACACAAAAGAGAGUUGAGAAUUAUUUAAGGCUAUCUAGGUACUACAAGGACAGCACAAGGACAUCUGCUGUUGCCCUACAAUGCAAGGCUUAUAGAGAAUUCAGAACUGCCAUUGACUCAGAUAUAAAAAGAGUAAAAAAGACUUUUUAGCUGACCUCCAAGAAUACCUAACCUCCCUCUCAGAGGUAGUCCUUCAAAAUAGGAAAAGAUUAGACCUGAUAUUCCUUAAAGAAGGAGUCUGUGUGCUACACUAAAAGAAGAAUGUUGUUUCUAUGCAGAUCAGACAGGAAUAAUAAGAGAUACAGACUUUCAGUCAUUCAAAUUUUGUGCUGAGACAACAGUAUCAGAUGGUGAAACAA
This 717-nucleotide long non-coding RNA is filed under the name Rattus norvegicus (Norway rat). Its description in RNAcentral is "long non-coding RNA NONRATT031293". Lineage: Eukaryota; Metazoa; Chordata; Mammalia; Rodentia; Muridae. The record is from RNAcentral.